Molecule: ribosomal RNA, 254 nt
Filed under: uncultured bacterium
Lineage: Bacteria
Description: partial 16S ribosomal RNA
Rfam family: Bacterial small subunit ribosomal RNA
Source: RNAcentral
UACAGAGGGUGCGAGCGUUGUUCGGAAUCAUUGGGCGUAAAGCGCUUGUAGGCGGCCUGCCAAGUCGCGUGUGAAAUCCCCUGGCUCAACCAGGGAAGUGCGCGCGAAACUGGCGGGCUUGGAGUGCCGGAGAGGGUCGCGGAAUUCCCGGUGUAGAGGUGAAAUUCGUAGAUAUCGGGAGGAACACCAGUGGCGAAGGCGGCGACCUGGACGGACACUGACGCUGAGACGCGAAAGCGUGGGGAGCAAACAGG